GACGAACGCUGGCGGCGUGCCUAAUACAUGCAAGUAGAACGCCGAAGGAGGAGCUUGCUUCUCUGGAUGAGUUGCGAACGGGUGAGUAACGCGUAGGUAACCUGCCUGGUAGCGGGGGAUAACUAUUGGAAACGAUAGCUAAUACCGCAUAAGAGUAGAUGUCGCAUGACAUUUGCUUAAAAGGUGCAAUUGCAUCACUACCAGAUGGACCUGCGUUGUAUUAGCUAGUUGGUGAGGUAACGGCUCACCAAGGCAACGAUACAUAGCCGACCUGAGAGGGUGAUCGGCCACACUGGGACUGAGACACGGCCCAGACUCCUACGGGAGGCAGCAGUAGGGAAUCUUCGGCAAUGGACGGAAGUCUGACCGAGCAACGCCGCGUGAGUGAAGAAGGUUUUCGGAUCGUAAAGCUCUGUUGUAAGAGAAGAACGAGUGUGAGAGUGGAAAGUUCACACUGUGACGGUAUCUUACCAGAAAGGGACGGCUAACUACGUG
This 495-nucleotide ribosomal RNA is filed under the name uncultured bacterium. Its description in RNAcentral is "partial 16S ribosomal RNA". It matches the Rfam family "Bacterial small subunit ribosomal RNA", at positions 28 to 507 of the family's 1533-position model. The record is from RNAcentral.